AUAAGCAAGAAAAUAAUAAUUUAAUCUUUUUCUGUUUUCUAGGUUCCCACACCAGAGAUCCGUGCACAUAGUUUGUAUUUUGAUCUGUCGGCGUACGGGAUCGACACUGUGAAGGAAUCACGCAGCUCCUCUCAGCCGGCAGCGAAGCCCGGAUUCCAUCUGAAGAUCUACGGGACGUUCCGGAACCGCUGCAUGGCUCUGGCCUGCACUUCGGAUGCAGACUCCAAAAUGAUGCAUUUCCUGCGCCACACAGCUAACUCUUCAAUCAUGAGGAACAUCUUCCACCAGUCGUUCAACGCGUAUAAAACAGACAUCGAGCCUCGUCUGAGUGAACUCACCCAGCACCACAUGCAGUGCAGCCGCAAGCUGUUCGAGAUCAUGCUGUCGUACAGACGCGUCAGCGCCGCUUACAUCGAAGAAGACAACGUCGCCGUGACUGUGGAAGGAGAAGCUGCGCGAGUGCUCAACUUUGACACUGGUUGUGGUGUGAAUCUGGGCAUGAGAGGACUGGAGUCACUGGGAAUGUUCAUCUACAGAACGGCCACGGCACUGGACCAGAAUGACGUGUUUGAGGCGCUCUCGGCCAAAAUCCAGCACUCCAGACACGUGGCAGAGACUUUCAGGAAGAGCGGACUGGCCUCGGCUGUGCUUGAAUGACCCUGAGUGUGUUUGUGUGACAGAGAAAGAGUGUGUGUGUGUUCUGAGGCGAGUUAUAAACUAGAACACGUAAUGCUUACAGAAUUAUGAUCUGUUUUGUGAUCGUUUUUUGGAAUGUUGAGUAUUGAAUGCACAUUAGAGUGGCCAAAGUUUGCAUUUAAUUUGUGGGGGGGAAAGUUUAUUGGUGUAAUGUGAUGGUAAAAUUGAUACGUUGCGUUUUUGAGUAGUUUAAACAUCUUGAUAAAAAUAAGAAUUGGAGACUGAUCCAGCCUAGAAUGACCACAAUCCUAAAGAAACCCUUACUGAAGAUACAGUGACCUUUAGACAUAUUUGGACACUUGCAAAAGUAUAAAAGCCACUGCAUUAGAUAAUAAAAUACCAAAGCAAGUGUCCUAAUCAGUGCAGUGUUAGCCUUAAAGGAAUAGUGCACCCAAAAAUAACAAUUUGCUGAAAAUCUACUCACCCUCAGCUCAUCCCAGAUGUAAAUGAGUUUGUUUCAUCAUCAGAUUUGGAGAAAUGUAGCACUACAUCACUUGCUCACCAGUGGAUCCUCUGCAGUGAAUGGGUGCCGUCAGAAUGAGAGCUGAUAAAAACAUCACAAUAAUCCACACCACCAAGAGAAAUCCACCAUUAAGGCAUUUUAACUUUAAACGGUCACUUCUGACCAAAAAUACGAGUCCAUAAUCCAUAAUAAUGCUUCAGCCAGUGAAAAAGUCCAUCUCCUGUUGUCCUCUCACAUCAAAAUCCACC
This 1407-nucleotide long non-coding RNA is filed under the name Sinocyclocheilus grahami. RNAcentral's name for it is "lncRNA (ENSSGRG00000000883.1)". Lineage: Eukaryota; Metazoa; Chordata; Actinopteri; Cypriniformes; Cyprinidae. The record is from RNAcentral.